Molecule: long non-coding RNA, 1527 nt
Organism: Stegostoma tigrinum
Lineage: Eukaryota; Metazoa; Chordata; Chondrichthyes; Orectolobiformes; Stegostomatidae
Exons: 4
Source: RefSeq, a predicted model, not a curated record
CAUCAAUCCUGGCAUUCCAGGAAUCAAAGGGGAACAUCGAGGCAGUUGUAAAAUGGAAAUGUCUUGGAACUGACGUGCGCCAUUGAUCAAGCAAACUAUUGCCUGAUGCAUGGAAUGUGGGUGUCACUGAAAUCUCAGCAUUUGUUGCCCAUCUCUGUUUCCUCUUGAAUUGAGUGGUCAUUUCAUGGGACAUUUAAGAGUUAACCACAAUGAAGUGGGUCUGGAGUUACAUAUCAGCUGGACCAGCUAAGGGUAGCAGACAUCCUAUCUUUAGAGAUGAAUCUUAUCAGGACAGUGAAGAUAGCUGUGGAGCAAGGACUGGGAAUGUUUGAAAGUCGUGCAUUGUCACAUCGCUGCCUCCACUUGAUCUUGCUGGAGGUUGUGAUGAAACUUCUGAAUAUAAUAUUAUUAUUUGCAAGUUUGGACCUAUAGUGAACAUAUAUACCAGAUCUCCAGCAUCUGCAGCCCUUUGCUUUAUUCUUUAUUGCGGAAAAUACAGAGGCAUGGCAUUGAGGGUGAUUUAGCGGUUUGGAUUGGAAAUUGGCUAGCUGUAAGAAGACAGAAGGUGGUCGUUGAUGGGAAAUGUUCAUCCUGGAGUCCAGUUACUAGUGGUGUACUGCAUGGAUCUGUUUUAGGGCCACUGAUGCUUGUCAUUUUUAUAAAUGACUUGGAUGAGGGCAUAGAAGGAUGGGUUAGUAAAUUUGCGGAUGAAACUAAAGCCGGUGGAGUUGUGGAUAGUGCGGAAGGAUGUUGCAGGUUACAGAGCGACAUAAAUAAGCUGCAGAACUAAGUUGUGGAAAAGUGUGAGGUGAUUCAUUUUGGAAGAAGCAACAGGGGUACAGAGUAUUGGGCUAAUUGUAAGAUUCUUGAUAGUGUGGAUGUGCAGAGAGAUCUCGGUGUCCAUGUGCAUAGAUCCCUGAAAGCUGCCACCCAGGUUGAUAGGGUUGUUAAGAAGACGUACGGUGUGUUAGGUUUUAUUAGUAGUGGGAUUGAGUUUUGGAGCCAUGAUGUCAUGUUGCAGCCGUACAAAACUCUGGUGCGGCCGCACUUGGAGUAUUGGGUACAGUUCUGGUCACCGCAUUAUAGGAAGGAUGUGGAAGCAUUGGAAAGGGUGCAGAGGAGAUUUACCAGGAUGUUGCCUGGUAUGGAGGGAAGGUCUUACAAGGAAAGGCGGAGGGACUUGAGGCUGUUUUCGUUAGAGAGAAGAAGGUUAAGAGGCGACUUAAUCGAGACAUACAAGAUGAUCAGAGGAUUAGAUAGGGUGGAUAGUGAGAGCCUUUUUCCUCAGAUGGUGAUGGCUAGCACAAGGGGGCGUAGCUUUAAAUUGAGGGGUGAUAGAUAUAGGACAGAAGUCAAAGAUAGGCUCUUUAUUCAGAGAGUAGUAAGGGAAUGGAAUGCCCUGCCUGCAACAGUAGUAGACUUGCCAACUUUAAGGGCAUUUAAAUGGUCAUUGGAUAAACAUAUGGAUGAUAAUGGAAUAGUGUAGGUUAGAUGGGCUUCAGAUUGGGUUCACGGGUCGGCGUGACA